Molecule: ribosomal RNA, 441 nt
Filed under: uncultured bacterium
Lineage: Bacteria
Description: partial 16S ribosomal RNA
Rfam family: Bacterial small subunit ribosomal RNA
Source: RNAcentral
CCUACGGGAGGCAGCAGUGGGGAAUCUUCCACAAUGGGGGAAACUCUGAUGCAGCAACGCCGCGUGAGUGAGGAAGUAUUUCGGUACGUAAAGCUCUAUCAUCAGGGAAUAGCAAAGAAGGUACCAGAAAAAGAAGCCCCGGCUAACUACGUGCAAGCAGCCGCGGUAAUACGUAGGGGGCAAGCGUUAUCCGGAUUUACUGGGUGUACAGGGAGCGUAGGCGGAAAGGCAAGUCCGAAGUGAAAACCCCAGGCUCAACCAGGGGGCUUCAUUGGAAAUUGUGAGACUAGAGUACGGAAGAGGAAAGAGGAAUUCCAUGUGUAGCGGUGAAAUGCGUAGAUAUUAGGAGGAACACCAGUGGCGAAGGCGUCUUACUGGUCCGAAACUGACGUUGAGGCUCGAAAGCGUGGGGAGCAAACAGGAUUAGAUACCCGAGUAGUC